AGUGAACGCUUUCUUUCUUCCUAACACAUGCAAGUCGAACGGCAGCACAGUAAGAGCUUGCUCUUACGGGUGGCGAGUGGCGGACGGGUGAGGAAUACAUCGGAAUCUACUUUUUCGUGGGGGAUAACGUAGGGAAACUUACGCUAAUACCACAUACGACCUACGGGUGAAAGCAGGGGAUCUUCGGACCUUGCGCGAUUGAAUGAGCCGAUGUCGGAUUAGCUAGUUGGCGGGGUAAAGGCCCACCAAGGCGACGAUCCGUAGCUGGUCUGAGAGGAUGAUCAGCCACACUGGAACUGAGACACGGUCCAGACUCCUACGGGAGGCAGCAGUGGGGAAUAUUGGACAAUGGGCGCAAGCCUGAUCCAGCCAUACCGCGUGGGUGAAGAAGGCCUGCGGGUUGUAAAGCCCUUUUGUUGGGAAAGAAAAGCAGCAGGUUAAUACCCCGCUGUUCUGACGGGACCCAAAGAAUAAGCACCGGCUAACUUCGU
RNAcentral lists this ribosomal RNA (491 nucleotides) under uncultured bacterium. Its description in RNAcentral is "partial 16S ribosomal RNA". It matches the Rfam family "Bacterial small subunit ribosomal RNA", at positions 29 to 506 of the family's 1533-position model. The record is from RNAcentral.